Molecule: ribosomal RNA, 253 nt
Filed under: uncultured bacterium
Lineage: Bacteria
Description: partial 16S ribosomal RNA
Rfam family: Bacterial small subunit ribosomal RNA
Source: RNAcentral
UACGUAGGGGGCAAGCGUUGUCCGGAAUCAUUGGGCGUAAAGCGCGUGUAGGCGGCCCGGUAAGUCCGUUGUGAAAGUCAAAGGCUCAACCUUUGAAAGCCGAUGGAUACUGCGGAGCUAGAGUACGGAAGAGGCGAGUGGAAUUCCUGGUGUAGCGGUGGAAUGCGCAGAUAUCAGGAGGAACACCAAUAGCGAAGGCAGCUCGCUGGGACGUUACUGACACUAAGGCGCGAAAGCGUGGGGAGCGAACAGG